CGCGUAGGCGGCUUGCCAAGUUGGAUGUGAAAGCCCGGGGCUCAACCUCGGAACUGCAUUCAAAACUGGCAAGCUUGAGACCGAGAGAGGAAAGUGGAAUACCCAGUGUAGAGGUGAAAUUCGUAGAUAUUGGGUGGAACACCGGUGGCGAAAGCGGCUUUCUGGCUCGGAUCUGACGCUGAGGCGCGAAAGCGUGGGGAGCAAACA
Molecule: ribosomal RNA, 207 nt
Filed under: uncultured bacterium
Lineage: Bacteria
Description: partial 16S ribosomal RNA
Rfam family: Bacterial small subunit ribosomal RNA
Source: RNAcentral